This 264-nucleotide ribosomal RNA is filed under the name uncultured bacterium. Its description in RNAcentral is "partial 16S ribosomal RNA". The record is from RNAcentral.
CUGCUGCCUCCCGUAGGAGUUUGGGCCGUGUCUCAGUCCCAAUGUGGCCGAUCAACCUCUCAGUUCGGCUACGCAUCAUUGCCUUGGUAAGCCUUUACCCCACCAACUAGCUAAUGCGCCGCGGGGCCAUCCAAAAGCGGUAGCAUAGCCACCUUUUACAUAGUUACCAUGCGGUAACUAUGGUUAUGCGGUAUUAGCACCUGUUUCCAAGUGUUAUCCCCCUCUUUUGGGCAGGUUGCCCACGUGUUACUCACCCGUUCGCCA